AUGGCGCUGAGCAGCUCGCCGUUGGCAGCAGUGAUGCUGAUGAUGGCAUUCUCUGCAGCGGCGGCGGCCGACGUGCCUUCGCCGCCGCAGAACUGCACCCGCACGUGCGGCAGCGUGAGCGUGCCGUACCCAUUCGGCGUCGGUCCGGCCAGAUGCUACAGGCCGGGCUUCAACCUCACCUGCGACACGAGCGGCCAGGGCACACCACGGCUGCUGCUCGGCGACGGAACGCUCCAAGUAGCGGAGAUCUCCAUCUACAACUCGACGGUGCAUGUCAUACACAACGGCGACAUAAAAGUCGACGCCGUCGGCAACGGCAUGUUUAGCGGCGUACUCAGCGACGACGACGGGCCCUACAGUCUGUCGUUCGGUAAUGAACUCGUCGUGGUGGGCUGCAACGUCUACGCGACACUGCACGAGAAGAAUACAGACGCCAUUAUAAGCGGUUGUGCUUCAUUCUGCCCCGACGACGUCGUUAUGAUGUACGCUCUCCUUGCCGCAACUACCACACUAGAAACACUACUAAAUUCGACCGCUCGCAAGUACUGCGACGGCAUGGUUUGCUGCCAGGCGGCCAUCGCCCAAACCCGUCAGAAUCUACCGGGCUCCGUGCAGAUCAAAUGGCUCCGUCCGAACCAUAAAGUGGACGAGCCAGGACCGCGUUCGCGCGUGUUCGUCGCGGAGAAAGCGUGGUUCGACCAGAAAUUGGUCUAUGAUGGUUUAAUGGCAGAUCCUCCGUCAAAAGAUGCAAUGUCAGUUCCCAUUCUUCUGGACUGGGCGGUCGUUGACGAAGAGCGCCCCCCAUCAAACGAGGACAGUACGUCCUUGGGUUGCACCAGGAAAGAAGCCCUCAAGGUCUGCAAGAGCAAGAAAAGCGCCUGCAGUUCGACAGGCAGAGGGCGUCUUUGCUACUGCCAAAAUGGCUACGAAGGCAAUCCUUAUAUCGCCGAUGGAUGCCAAGAUAUCGACGAGUGCGACCUCCCUGCAAAAGACAUCGAGUGCUACGGAGAAUGUACCAACACACAGGGAUCCUUCGAGUGUCGACUUGGCAGUGGUGCAGGAGUUAUUCUUUUUAUUCUCACAAUAUUCUUCAUGGUGCAAAAGAUUAAACAUCAGAGGGCCAAAAAGUUGAGACAUAAAUUUUUUGAGCAAAAUCGUGGACAAUUAUUGCAACAACUAGUAGCGCAAAGAGCUGAUAUUGCAGAAAGAAUGAUCAUAGCAUUAGAAGAGCUGGAGAAGGCAACAAACAAUUUUGAUAAAUCUCGGGAGCUUGGUGGGGGAGGGCAUGGUACUGUUUACAAAGGGAUUUUAUCAGAUCUACAUGUAGUAGCAAUCAAGAAACCAAAGGUGGUGGUUCAAAAAGAGAUUGAUGAGUUUAUCAACGAGGUUGCUAUCUUGUCCCAAGUCAACCAUAGAAAUGUGGUGAAACUCUAUGGUUGUUGUCUUGAAACGGAAGUUCCAAUGUUGGUUUACGAAUUUGUAUCCAAUGGGACCCUUUAUGACCAUCUUCAUUCAAGGUCACUAUCAUGGGGACAUAGGCUACGUAUAGCAGUUGAAACAACCAAAUCUCUUGCUUAUCUUCACUUGUCUGUUUCGAUACCUAUCAUCCAUAGAGAUAUCAAGUCCGUUAAUAUACUUUUGGACGAUACUCUAACAGCAAAGGUAGCAGACUUUGGAGCUUCAAGGUACAUUCCAGUGGAGCAAUCAGGGGUAACAACAAUGGUGCAAGGUACAAUAGGAUACUUAGAUCCUAUGUACUUCUACACAUCGCGCCUCACAUAUAAGAGUGACGUUUAUAGCUUUGGUGUCAUUCUUGUGGAACUAUUGACUCGAAAGAAGCCCUUCUCAUACAUGUCUUCUGAAGGUGAUAGUCUUGUUGCAAAAUUUGUUACCCUGCUUGCGGAAGGCACUUUAUUGCAGAUAUUAGAUCCACAAGUGAUCGAAGAGGGCGGGAUAGAAGUUGAAGAAGUUGCCAAGCUUGCGGUAACAUGUGUGAAAUUAAACGAAGAGGAUCGUCCAACCAUGAGGUUAGUGGAAAUGACACUAGACGGCCUUCAAACAUCCAUGGAUCACAUUGUAGAUGGUCAAGUGGUCGGGGAAUUUGAGAAGGGUGACAUUGCAAUAAAUCCACCAUCAACAAAUAGUGCCGAAAGAAACAAUGAUGAUUCAACAAGACAAUACAGCUUAGUAGAAGAGUUUAUGUUAUCUGCAAGGUGCCCUCGAUAG
Molecule: ribosomal RNA, 2226 nt
Filed under: Triticum aestivum (bread wheat)
Lineage: Eukaryota; Viridiplantae; Streptophyta; Magnoliopsida; Poales; Poaceae
Description: partial small subunit ribosomal RNA
Source: RNAcentral